UUUUGGUACCAGGAUGGAACUCACGGACCUCGCGCUCUCCAAGCAUGCACGUGUGAUGCUGAGCUAAGUCCUUGGUCCUUUUUAAUAUAUUUAUUAGUAGACUAAAAUUGUUUAAAAAUAAUAUUUAAUUAUGCAAAUGAUAAUUAUUCAAGUCAUAUAAAAAAUUGCAAGGGCGGGGGGUUUAACUUAGGGCCAGGGUUUAGCUCAGCGGCAUAAAUGCCUGCUUGGCAAACGCGAGGUUGUGAGUUCAAUUCCCAGUACCAAAAUAAAUAAAUAAAUAAAAAUUAAAAUAAAAAGUUACAAAAUGGAAAGCAAUCUCUAGUCCUGUGGCAAGUUACACUUUUGAGACCUUUUCUUUAGCCAUUUCUGCCAAAAAGAACAUAACCAUUGUCUUCCACAAGAUGGCAGCAUUUCAUGUUUUGUUUUGUUUUUGAAACAGGGUUUUGCUGUGUAGCUCAGGCUGGGCUUGAACUCACUAUGUAGCUAAGGCUGGCCUUGUGGCAGUCCUCCUGCCUCAGCCUCCUGAGUGCUGCGAUUACAGGCAUGCGCUACCAUGCCUGGCCAGCAUUUCUUAUUUGUUAACAAUUUUUCCCACAUCAGAUUUAGCUCAGUGGUUCAAGAGCUUGCCUGGUCAGUGCGAGGUUGUGAUUUCUAUCCCCAGUACAAAAAACAAGAAAGAAAGAAACAAUUUUCCCCAAGGCCAGAAGCAUUCCUGAUUGUCCAUGUUCAGUUAUGAUGAUUCAAGAUGCCAUCUCAGGGACACAAUCAGUUCCUAGUACUAAGUGCAGUGUGUGUGUGUGUAUGUGUGUGGGGGGGAUGAUUCAAGAACUGCAGCAGGCACACCUGUACCUGUAAUUUUUAAUUUUUUGGUACUAGAAUUAAACUCAGGACUUUGUAAUUGCCAGGCAGGCGCUUUGCCACUGAGCAAUAUCCCAGCCCUAACAGCUGUAAUUUUAAGGAAACAAUAAGGAUAAAUCCUAGGAACUGAGGGCCAACGGAAGCCCAGGGCAGCAAACUACCUGGGAACCUAGCAGUUUCCGGGGAGGUGUUCCUGGCCACUUAGGUGCAUCUGCUCACUAUUUUUUUUUUCUUACACUUUUUUUUUUCUUUUUUCUUUUUUAUCGGUACCGAGGAUCGAACUCACGACCGCCUGCUUGCAAGGCAGGUCCUUAUGUCACUGAGCUAAAUCCCCAGCCCCCGCAUCUGCUCACUAUUGACCAAACCAGAUGUGGUCAUACAUUUUGGUAGGAAGGGAAAAGGGAAUGGAUUCAAAGCCACUUCUGAAAAGAUGGAGGGGGCUGAUCCUCAGGUUCAUAAGUGUGAUGAUUGGGUGUUCAUGCUCCAUGCAUGACAUGUGUCUCCUUUGAACCUUUUUAGGACAUCGGCACAUUACCCAUUUGACGUGAAAAAGAAAGAAAAAAAAAGAUGGAGGGGGCCAUUUGCCUCAAAUCACCACUUCCCUGUUUACAGGAAGAUGAGAGUGGUAAGCAGCACAGAAGAACCUGAGAUUUUCUGUCCGGACACUGUAAUACAGCAAUGUGAGGAAGAAAAGAAGAUGGGAAGUGGUCACCUGGACUCAGGAAAGAUCUGAGCAAGAAUUGAAGUCUGCGGGGGAGUGAAGAGAGAAAUUUCAACAAAGAAGAAGAUGGCAGCUGGCACCUUCUCCCUGAGUUGGGAUUCACUGCAUGCAAGGAGCAGUUCAAACCUGCAGACAGUUGGUGGCUGCUGGAAACUCAAGAGGCCUCCGUUGAGAGAUGCAGCAGUAUAAGGGAGGAGAUGAUACUGUGGACUUCACUAGCUGGUUGAGUGCCUUGGGUUUAGCUACAGGAGAGAGUGAUGGGCCCGGAGCCACCUUGGAGAGGAGUCAACUGGGCUCAGAACUCAGAACAGUCAUAGCUCUCAGCUGAGUUCAAACCCACAGAUGUUAUGCUGGCUGCUUCAGGCUGAACAGGUCUGGCUCCAGCCUCAUGGCAAGAAACCAAGCUGAUCUUCAAGGAAAAUAAAGGUGCAGGUUCACUGAGAUUACUCACUACCCAUUAUAAAGCUACUGCUGGCUUGUUGAAAUAAGUCAACACAAAUCUGGACUCUAUUUCCACAUGUUGUCCACCAAUGACAGCAGAAAGAUAAACCUUGAAAUGGAUCUCUUGUUUUUUUGUUUGUUUUUGCUUUUUAAAUUUUUUCUUCAUUGUUUGAUCUUGUUUUAUGUGUGAAUGUGGUUUAUAGUUUUCUUUGUGGUUAUUGUUCUGUGCUGUCCUUCCUUUUAUUUAUUUCUUCUCACCUUUCUUUUUGUUUUCUGAACAAUUUUCCCAAAGUUUAUAUGACCUUCUUUUAUUCUCCAGCCUCGCUUCUAAUCUCUUCCUCUUCUAGUUCUCUGUUUUUUUCCAUAACCCCUUUUAAAAUUUCUUCUCUAAGGGUAAAAUCAGCAUAUUUUUUGCAUACAAUUUUCUGGUUUGUUUUAGAUUUUGUUGUGUAACCACAAAUCUAGUUCAUACAGUUAAAUGUGGCAAAUUAAUGGUUGCCUCAGUUUGUCAUUUUCUAGCCAGUGUUUGAUGCUAUUGUUAUUGCUGAUGGUACCAUUUUAGCUAGGGUAACAUUGUUCUAACCAAUUGUUUUUCCUUGAAUACCAAGGCUGAGAUUGCUUAAGGGUUACAGAAAAUGCUAUGAGCCAGUGCCAAGAGAACCAGAGGCUGAGGCAAGCAGUCAGCAACUUCAUAUCCCCCAAAAAUUGAAGAGGUAGGAUCUUGCAACAUACUCAAAACCAAAAACUAGCUACACCUGGAAGAUACCCUUGAGAAACAGUCAUUUCCUAAGGGUUUUAAAUACUAACAAAAAAGCAGCUCAUCAUAUGUGCAAAGAAAUAAAAUUAAAAAAUGAGAAAGCACUUAAACCAGAUGGAAUCCCAGACAUCCAGUUCACCAUAAGCAAACAAAGGAGGCAAUAAAGUGGAAUAAUUCCUGUCUUGAUUAUUGUUCUCUCAUUGCUGAGACAAAUACCUAAAACUAAAAUGAGGGAAGAAAAGGUUUAUUUAGCUCACAGUCCAUGGAAAUUUCAGUCCAUAAUUUGUUGGUUCCAAGACAGGAUGGUAUGGCUAAGGGGCAACAUGGCAAAUGCAGCAGAUACCAGAAGCAACAAGAACAAAAAGGCAAAAGGGAAAGGCAUGCUUCCUGCCUUCUCUUAUACCGUAUGUUGGUUACCCGCCCCUGGGCAGGUACAGCACUCACACCAUCAAUCUUAGUGCUAGACAAUGAGCCAAUCACAAACACCAGAUUCAGCUGCCUUCACGACUGCAUUAGGCUUUGGGGAAGCAUUUAAACACAAACCAUAACAAUCCCACAGCCACCCAUUCGGGCUCUCUCAGAUGAUAACAAUAAGCAAAUGAAUGACACUUUACAAAAAUACCAAGUAAUUUCUCAAAUAACUACAGAGAUGGUGACCACAAUGAAAACCAUGUUAGUGACUGUAAAGCAGAUACAGUGUUAGAGUAGAGCUUAGGAAAAUGAUGGAAAUCAUGAACACUCAAUAUAGAAAAGAAGUGUAACCCAUAAAACAGGUUCAAGCAGACAUCUAAGAGACUAAAAAUUCCAUUGUAAAUAUUCAUAGCAGAAUAAACCAAUGUGAGGAAAAAAAUCUCAGAUAUACAAGACAUGCUUGCAGUUAGUGAUCAUGAAAAAGAAAGAUUUCUUAGGAAUAGCAAGGGACCACAAGAAAUCAAUCCAAGAGAGAAUCAGAAGAAGAUCCACCUCCGCCUGCUGGGCACCACCACUUGAAGGCUCCUUCCUUCACGCUACCAGUGUGGGCAGAGAAAACCAGAAGAAGCCCCACCUCUGCCUGCUUGGUGCCGCCAGUGGAAGGCACUUUCCUCUGUGCACCCAGCAUGGGCCGAAGGAGACAGACAGAUCCACUUCUGCCUACUGUGUGCUGCCACCAAAAGGCCAUGUCCUACAGGAGGCCAGUGUGGGCAGAGAGAACCAGCAGAUCCACCUUCACUUUCAGGAAGCUGCCCCGAGAAGGCUCCUUCCUACAGACAGCCAACAGGAGCAGGGACACACAGCCAGGUAAGCCCUGUGCAUCAAUAGGCCACCAUUUGAGGCCCUUGGUUCCCUCCGACAGCCACCAUCCACUAGCAGAGUCAGACAAACACACCCAUGUGUGGCUGCCACCAUUUUGGGAAUCCAUUGAAGACACACAGGCUGAGAGAAGCAGCCCCACCUACAUGCACCCCUGAUUGUCAGCGAAGCCCCAGUGUAACAGCAUAGCUCUGGAGAAGCCCACUCCACACCCUGCUACCUCCCUGUAAAUCUGGAAUUAGAGGAACCCAGGUGCCUGUCCCAUCCCCCUACAACUUAGGGGCAGCCAACACAGGAAGUGCCUGGGACCCCACAACCAGCUUAUUGGGAGGAACCCAGGAUAAGCCAAGAUGAAGGAGCAAAAGGCAAACUCAGACCUCUAGCCCACACACAAUAAGUCUGGGAGAUACAGUCAUGGAAGAAAACAGAAGCCCCACACCUGAAAUCUCUGAGAGAAUAGCAACUGAAGUAAGAAAACAACUUCAUGAGAUUGUAAAAGCAGUCAAGUCAGAAAUAAUGUCUCAGGUAAAAGAAGAAAUCACAAACAUACUGAAAGAAUUGUCAAGCAGGUCUAAAGAAGACAUAGACAAUAAAGAGGAGCAUAGGAAAAUGAUGGAAACCUUUAAUGAAUGUAGAAAGGAAUUACAAUGUAUGAAACAUUUAAAGAGAGAUGCAAGAAAUUAAAAAUUCAACCAAAAGAUGGAAAAACCGCUUGAAAGAGAUUGAGGAUAGACUUUCAACUCUUGAAGACAGGAUUGCAGCUAGUGAUCGUGAAAGGAAGGAUCUCUUAACAAUAACACAGACUCAGGAAAUAACAAUUCAAUGACUGCGACAUGGUGCAAAGAAGCAUAAUUUAAGAGUGGUAGGUAUCAGUGAAGAAGCAGGGAUCAACACGAAUGAAAUAAAAGGAUAUUCACAGGAGUAAUAAAAGAAACUUCCCAAACAUGGGAAAUAGAUCUGGCAUGCAGAUAAGUGAGGCAUAUAGGACUCCAACUAGCCAUAACCAAAGUAAAUCUACACCCAGACAUAGAAUAAUCAAGACCCCAGAAAUUCACCACAAGAACAGAAUAUUAAAAGCUGUUAGAGAAAAGAGACAGAUUACCUAUAAAGGAAAACUAAUCAGAAUCACAGAAGACUUGUCAACACAAACCAUAAGUCAAGAAGAGUUUGAAGUGCUUCAAACCCUAAAAGAAAACAACUCCCAACCCAAAUUGAUCUAACCAGAAAAACUAUCUUUCAAAAUUGGUGGAAAAAUAAGACACUUCCAUGAUAAAGAGCAACUGAAGGAAUUCAUGAUAACCAAACCAACUCUACAGAGAGUGCUAGGGAAUAUUCUAGAGAUAGACAAAGAUGACCAUGGUUCCAGGAACAGCAGCAGAGGAGGACUGCCAAACAAGACAGGCAAUUGAAUGAAUGGAACAAGUGGAGGGAGGGCCAAUAACAGGGGGAUAGCAGGGCAGAGACAAAUGUAUGCCGGUUGUAACCAUUAAUGUAUAUGCCCUCAGGUCAGCAAUGAAAAGCAAUACAGGGAGAGCAGAUCAAGAAACAAGAUCCUUUGAUAUACUGUAUACAAGAAACACAUCUAACUGGAAAGGAAAUUCAUAGACUGAAAAUUAAAGGACAGAAAACAAUUGUUCCAUGUGACAGGAGACAAAAAAAAAAAAAAAAAAAAAAAAGCAAAAGUAACUUGCCCAUCAACGACAGAAUGGAUAAGAAAGAUAUGGUAUUUUCAUGCAGUGGAAAGCUACCCAUCUAUAAAGUAGAAUAAUCUCAAGGCUUUUGUAGGUAAAUGGACGAAACUGGAGAUCAUAUUCAUGGCCAAAAUAAUUUGAACUUAUACAUGUAAACCCUAGCAUAAGAAACAGGAGUUAAUGGGAUCAAAAAGCGAAAUAGUUAAUGUAAGAGCAAA
Cavia porcellus (domestic guinea pig) is the source of this 5976-nucleotide long non-coding RNA. RefSeq lists it as uncharacterized. The record is from RefSeq and is a predicted model, not a curated record. NCBI's taxonomy places the organism in Eukaryota, Metazoa, Chordata, Mammalia, Rodentia, Caviidae. The transcript is spliced from 2 exons.